UACAGCGGAUGCGAGCGUUAAUCGGAAUUACUGGGCGUAAAGCGCACGUAGGUGGCGACGUAAGUCGGGUGUGAAAGCCCCGGGCUCAACCUGGGAAUUGCAUUCGAGACUGCAUUGCUGGAGUACGGAAGAGGAGGGCGGAAUUGCCGGUGUCGCGGUGAAAUGCGUAGAUAUCGGGAGGAACAUCAGUGGCGAAGGCGGCCCUCUGGUCCAGUACUGACACUCAAGUGCGAAAGCGUGGGGAGCAAACAGG
This 253-nucleotide ribosomal RNA is filed under the name uncultured bacterium. Its description in RNAcentral is "partial 16S ribosomal RNA". It matches the Rfam family "Bacterial small subunit ribosomal RNA", at positions 524 to 776 of the family's 1533-position model. The record is from RNAcentral.